UUGUGCAAGAUUCUCUCAAAAUUUUCCUUCCUCUCCAGAUUUCUCUUCGCCGCCCCCGGUCCUCGGACCUCUUCGGCUCUUUCCCCGUGCGAGCGAUGCCACCUGCUCCUCCCAUUGGCACGUGGCAACAGCGCCGCCCUGCAGCUCCCCGCCGGCAUGAGACCACUACGAGGAGGAUCCCCGCGCCCCCAUCUUCUCCUCACCUAACCCGCUCGCCGCGUCGUGCUUCUUCCCGAAACGGCAUCCAAGGGCUUCCACGUGGCAUGUGCUCUGGCGCCGCCGCCCCCUGUUCUUCCGCUAGCCGCUGUCGGCAUCCGCGGGCGCCGCGCCGGCGGGGAGCUUCACGACCGCGCUACCCCUGACUUCACCAGCACGCCGCUCCGCUCGCGGCCCAUUCCAUGCCCUCAGCGAGCGACGGUAGACCUCCUCCACCUCUCGCGCUGCUAGAGCAGCUGCUGGGAGGAGCGGUGCCGGCAGGGAGAUGCAGCUGGGUUGCCCCCGAUGCGCCCUUGCAGCGGUCUCUCCCCUUCCCGAUCUUCUUGGCCCGAGCCUGCCCAAUCCCUCAUAUGUAUCCGCUCUCCGAGAUCUUCGUGGCCGCCAGCCUCUCCCUAGCCCCGAUCCGCUUCCUACCAGAUCUCUUCCCUGCCUAACGACCUCUCCCUAGCCCCGAGCCACCACUAUUCGCCACUGCUUUUCACCACAAAGAAUUCCCCGCUGUAGCUGCAUCUUACCAUUUCUUGACCAGAAGGAGAGAAGAACAACUAGUGGAGGAUCCACCUCCGCCGCGUGCGUGAAUUCCCCAUCUUCACAUUCUCUUUCACAGGCCCUCUAUGAUGGAACAAAGAGCUCACAUCUGUGUGUUCCUUCUGUUUUUCAAUUGCAUCUCAUAUCCUCUAUAUACGUUUCUAGGUCAUCAUUAUCUAGAGGACCAUGUAAACUAGAAUCCUGAGAUUUCCACCACGUACUUGUGAUUACUUUCUACAAAUUGGUCUACAGGUCACUGGAGAAAAGUUGAAGUGAUUUGAGAAUAUUUUUCCCUCUCCCUACAGAUGUACCAACAGUCAGAUGUUUGAGCGCAUUAUAUAGUCAAGCAUGCAUGCAAUGGAGGUCAAGGAAUAUCUUUCUGUACCAUACAAAAGCCGGUCUCCGAUAUUCAUUUCUCAGAUAUGCAGAUACAUGUGAUUCCAGGUCUACAAGGAGAAGCAACAAGACUGUUAUAUGUGCAACCAAAUAUUAUGGAUCUUCUGAUACAUUCUGUGUUAUACAUUGGAAAAGAUUUUGCAUGACAAGGUUUAGAUCCUGGCCUCACCAGCCUUGCCUUUUGUUCUACAUCUUUCAUUCCAAAGUUGACUUGAGGUAGAGCUGAAAGAUUGUUGCACUAGCCAAUUAAACCAAAAGUCCGAACUGAUGGAAAGAGACUAGGCAAUGUAUUUAUAUUCAACACCCCCCCUCACGUCUAGGCUAUUUUAGUUCUUAGCGUGGGUUCGGUGUGGGCCGCAGAAUCUUUUUUCUUUUUGUUUUUAAAACUACGUGAGCAGGGUCUUGAACUUGAGACCUCUUCGCUCUGAUACCAUGAAAGAUUGCUGCACUAGCCAAUUGAACUAAAAGUCCGAACUGAUGGAAAGAGACUAGGCAAUGUAUUUAUAUUGGUGUUGUGUGGGUCUGCUUGCAAAGAUGGAGAAGCAAGGUAAUGUGAUGCAGCCCACUGUUUUCUUCCUAGGUUUCGUAAGAAAUUGUGAUAUUCUUCUCUAUAGUCACGAUGUCAUCUGGUGUACCAUGUGACGAAGAAGACAUGAUUAGCUAAAGUAGCAUUAUGUAUUUAUGUAAAGCUUGGUAUAUCAUCUAUUGUUCAAGUUAGCAAGUUUAUUACCCUCCUGUGCGCCCCCUGCCGUUGAUGUACAUUGUAUCAAAUUUCAUUAUGAAUAGAUUUUUACCUAAUUGUUUGGCCAUCAAAA
This is a long non-coding RNA of Lolium perenne, 1955 nucleotides long. RefSeq lists it as uncharacterized. NCBI's taxonomy places the organism in Eukaryota, Viridiplantae, Streptophyta, Magnoliopsida, Poales, Poaceae. The record is from RefSeq and is a predicted model, not a curated record.